Molecule: long non-coding RNA, 221 nt
Filed under: Vigna radiata
Lineage: Eukaryota; Viridiplantae; Streptophyta; Magnoliopsida; Fabales; Fabaceae
Description: long non-coding RNA (VRAD_LNC003209)
Source: RNAcentral
UGGGGAAAGAAAUAAAAGAAGUACGUAAUCUGAUAUAUUAUUGUACGUGCAAGUAAAACCAGGCAAUGAAAUAUCUGAAUUGAAUGCUUUUGGGUAGUGAAAGGAGAUAAAGACUCAAAGUCUGGUCUGGUGCAUGAUAUUUGCAAUGGAGGAUGUUGAUGAGAUUCUUGUUCAACAAUGUCAUGGUACGUGUCGAAUUGCAGUGAAACCUUCAAGUACUA